This 249-nucleotide unclassified non-coding RNA is filed under the name Hevea brasiliensis (rubber tree). The record is from RNAcentral. Lineage: Eukaryota; Viridiplantae; Streptophyta; Magnoliopsida; Malpighiales; Euphorbiaceae.
GCAAGACGAACCUGAGGAAAUCGACAUUCGGAUGUUUUGUGAAGCAGAAUUCGAGAACCAGAUCCAUCAAGUGAACUGCCAUCUGCCAGAGCCACUGACUGGAGGUUAUAAUGCUGGGCAACACGGUGAGCAGCCAGUCUAAGAUAAGAAGUUGGAAGUGACUGAAAUUCCAGCUGUUGUUGAGUAGGAUCACGAAUGAACUUCUCAACAUCUUGUUCCAUCCGCAAAAUAGCCAGCCGUUCCCGAGGC